Molecule: ribosomal RNA, 402 nt
Filed under: uncultured bacterium
Lineage: Bacteria
Description: bacterial SSU rRNA
Rfam family: Bacterial small subunit ribosomal RNA
Source: RNAcentral
AGCGAACGCUGGCGGCAGGCUUAACACAUGCAAGUCGAGCGGGCACUUCGGUGUCAGCGGCAGACGGGUGAGUAACACGUGGGAACGUACCCUUCGGUUCGGAAUAACGCUGGGAAACUAGCGCUAAUACCGGAUACGCCCUUUUGGGGAAAGGUUUACUGCCGAAGGAUCGGCCCGCGUCUGAUUAGCUAGUUGGUGGGGUAAUGGCCUACCAAGGCGACGAUCAGUAGCUGGUCUGAGAGGAUGAUCAGCCACACUGGGACUGAGACACGGCCCAGACUCCUACGGGAGGCAGCAGUGGGGAAUAUUGGACAAUGGGCGCAAGCCUGAUCCAGCCAUGCCGCGUGAGUGAUGAAGGCCUUAGGGUUGUAAAGCUCUUUUGUCCGGGACGAUAAUGACGGU